RNAcentral lists this ribosomal RNA (253 nucleotides) under uncultured bacterium. RNAcentral describes it as "partial 16S ribosomal RNA". It matches the Rfam family "Bacterial small subunit ribosomal RNA", at positions 524 to 776 of the family's 1533-position model. The record is from RNAcentral.
UACGUAGGGGGCAAGCGUUGUCCGGAUUUAUUGGGCGUAAAGAGCGUGUAGGCGGCCAUGUAGGUCCGUUGUGAAAACUCGAGGCUCAACCUCGAGACGCCGAUGGAAACCAUGUGGCUAGAGUCCGGAAGAGGAGAGUGGAAUUCCUGGUGUAGCGGUGAAAUGCGCAGAGAUCAGGAAGAACACCCGUGGCUAAGGCGGCUCUCUAGUACGGUACUGACGCUGAGACGCGAAAGCGUGGGGAGCGAACAGG